GGUUCCGUGGUGUAGUGGUUAUCACGUCUGCUUCACACGCAGAAGGUCUCCGGUUCUAUCCCGGGCGGAGCCA
RNAcentral lists this transfer RNA (73 nucleotides) under Stegodyphus dumicola. RNAcentral describes it as "tRNA-Val". It matches the Rfam family "tRNA". Rfam says of the family: Transfer RNA (tRNA) molecules are approximately 80 nucleotides in length. Their secondary structure includes four short double-helical elements and three loops (D, anti-codon, and T loops). The record is from RNAcentral. Lineage: Eukaryota; Metazoa; Arthropoda; Arachnida; Araneae; Eresidae.